Molecule: ribosomal RNA, 250 nt
Filed under: uncultured prokaryote
Description: partial 16S ribosomal RNA
Rfam family: Bacterial small subunit ribosomal RNA
Source: RNAcentral
UACGUAGGUGGCGAGCGUUGUCCGGAAUAACUGGGUGUAAAGGCGAGUAGGUGGGAUAGGAAGUCAGGUGUGAAAUUUAUUAGCUCAACUAAUAAGCUGCAUCUGAAACUGAUAUUCUUGAGUGCUGGAGAGGGAAGCGGAAUUCCUAGUGUAGCGGUGAAGUGCGUAGAUAUUAGGAGGAACACCAGUGGCGAAGGCGGCUUUCUGGACAGUAACUGACACUGAGGCGCGAAAGCGUGGGGAGCGAACA